RNAcentral lists this non-coding RNA (219 nucleotides) under Bacillota bacterium. RNAcentral's name for it is "Firmicutes bacterium T-box sequence". It matches the Rfam family "T-box leader". From Rfam's summary of the family: Uncharged tRNA acts as the effector for transcription antitermination of genes in the T-box leader family. T-boxes are found upstream of many aminoacyl-tRNA synthetase genes and some amino acid biosynthetic genes usually in Gram-positive bacteria. The record is from RNAcentral. Lineage: Bacteria; Bacillati; Bacillota.
AUGAAAACGAGGACCAAGAGGAGUAAAUUAUUAACCGUCUAAAGCGAAUUUGGGUUGAUGGGAGCCAAAGAGAUAGGUGAUAAUUGAAAAGAACUUGUGAGUAACUUUUGGAAAUGCUGAUUGGCAGAGUAUAUUAGUUCGGGUAAUUCCGUUAACAAUACGAGUUGGUUAGUUUAUACUAGCAAUUAGGGUGGUACCGCGUUUUAAGACGUCUCUAUU